RNAcentral lists this ribosomal RNA (599 nucleotides) under Alteromonas macleodii. RNAcentral describes it as "bacterial SSU rRNA". It matches the Rfam family "Bacterial small subunit ribosomal RNA", at positions 81 to 683 of the family's 1533-position model. Lineage: Bacteria; Pseudomonadati; Pseudomonadota; Gammaproteobacteria; Alteromonadales; Alteromonadaceae. The record is from RNAcentral.
UAGAAGAUGACGAGUGGCGGACGGGUGAGUAAUGCUUGGGAACUUGCCUUUGCGAGGGGGAUAACAGUUGGAAACGACUGCUAAUACCGCAUAAUGUCUUCGGACCAAACGGGGCUUCGGCUCCGGCGCAAAGAGAGGCCCAAGUGAGAUUAGCUAGUUGGUAAGGUAACGGCUUACCAAGGCGACGAUCUCUAGCUGUUCUGAGAGGAAGAUCAGCCACACUGGGACUGAGACACGGCCCAGACUCCUACGGGAGGCAGCAGUGGGGAAUAUUGCACAAUGGGGGAAACCCUGAUGCAGCCAUGCCGCGUGUGUGAAGAAGGCCUUCGGGUUGUAAAGCACUUUCAGUUGUGAGGAAAAGUUAGUAGUUAAUACCUGCUAGCCGUGACGUUAACAACAGAAGAAGCACCGGCUAACUCCGUGCCAGCAGCCGCGGUAAUACGGAGGGUGCGAGCGUUAAUCGGAAUUACUGGGCGUAAAGCGCACGCAGGCGGUUUGUUAAGCUAGAUGUGAAAGCCCCGGGCUCAACCUGGGAUGGUCAUUUAGAACUGGCAGACUAGAGUCUUGGAGAGGGGAGUGGAAUUCCAGGUGUAGCGGUG